Molecule: small nucleolar RNA, 70 nt
Gene: SNORD18
Rfam family: Small nucleolar RNA SNORD18
About the family: U18 is a member of the C/D class of snoRNA which contain the C (UGAUGA) and D (CUGA) box motifs. It is encoded in introns of ribosomal protein L1 in Xenopus and human, and in introns of elongation factor 1 beta in yeast.
Source: Ensembl
GCAAAAUGAUGAGAUUUGCUUCAGGUCCGUGUUUUUGAUUUUACUUGAUAGCAAUUGAAGUUCUGAUGAU